UGCUUAACACAUGCAAGUCGAACGAGAACGGAUUAUAGCUUGCUAUAAUUGUCAGCUAAGUGGCGCACGGGUGAGUAAUGUAUAGAUAACCUGCCCUUAAGAAAGGAAUAACAGUUGGAAACGACUGCUAAUGCCCUAUAUGCCUUUAAUACAUAAGUAUGCAAGGGAAACGCUUUAGUGCUUAAGGAUGGGUCUGUAUGGUAUCAGCUUGUUGGUGAGGUAAUGGCUCACCAAGGCUAUGACGCCUAACUGGUUUGAGAGGAUGAUCAGUCACACUGGAACUGAGACACGGUCCAGACUCCUACGGGAGGCAGCAGUGGGGAAUAUUGCACAAUGGACGAAAGUCUGAUGCAGCAACGCCGCGUGGAGGAUGACACAUUUCGGUGCGUAAACUCCUUUUAUAUAGGAAGAUAAUGACGGUACUAUAUGAAUAAGCACCGGCUAACUCCGUGCCAGCAGCCGCGGUAAUACGGAGGGUGCAAGCGCUACUCGGAAUCACUGGGCGUAAAGAGCGUGUAGGCGGGUAUAUAAGUCAGAAGUGAAAUCCAAUAGCUCAACUAUUGAACUGCUUUUGAAACUGUAUACCUAGAAUGUGGGAGAGGUAGAUGGAAUUUCUGGUGUAGGGGUACAAUCCCUAGAGAUCAUAAGCAAUACCUAUUGCCAAGCCAAUCUACUGUAACAUUAUUCAUGCUUAUACUC
This 699-nucleotide ribosomal RNA is filed under the name uncultured Arcobacter sp. RNAcentral describes it as "bacterial SSU rRNA". It matches the Rfam family "Bacterial small subunit ribosomal RNA", at positions 45 to 754 of the family's 1533-position model. Lineage: Bacteria; Pseudomonadati; Campylobacterota; Epsilonproteobacteria; Campylobacterales; Arcobacteraceae. The record is from RNAcentral.